Long non-coding RNA from Alosa sapidissima (American shad), 257 nucleotides. RefSeq lists it as uncharacterized. The transcript has 3 exons. The record is from RefSeq and is a predicted model, not a curated record. Lineage: Eukaryota; Metazoa; Chordata; Actinopteri; Clupeiformes; Clupeidae.
GGUCCUUAGAUGGUCUCCACCUCUCACGGGUUUGGGGACAACCUCUAUCACCAUCAUUUUGAGGGAGGAAGCAGAGGGAUGACCUGCCUGCUGGUAAUGGACCGCCAUGGGGUAAGCAGGAUGUCUUGUCCUUAUGGCGUUCUUAUGUUCUGCAACUCUGUCCUUCAGCCUUCUUUUCGUUCUGCCGACGUAGAAGCAGCCACACUCACACUCGAGUCUAUAGACUACAAAGGUACUCUCAGGACAACUCUCUGCGA